UCAUGCGGUAAACAAAAACACCGUCGUUCAGGCACGCAGUAAAGCUUAGAACUAAUGUUCUUCAGCUUAAUCUGGUUCAUCUCUUAUCUUGGUUUCAAUGAUUCUUGAUAACUCUUUUGGUCUUAGCUUCGUUCCUUUCAUUUCUUGUUGCUGGCAUAUGGGUCAAAUUCUGGCUUAACAAACAAUCCGUUGUUGGACUUGGAAACUUGGUGUACAAUAGUACAAGCCACCGAUGAAGAAGAGGAAGUGUCUGCCUUAUACAGUAGGUAUGCUGGAGAUCGACAGUACGCUACACCUAAGCCAGAAUUUGAAACACAUGCACAUAAAAGGCGUAGUUCAGAACCUACGGCUGGAGAGGACUUCAGGAAAUGUAAAUUCCUUUCAUGCCCUCUAACGAUAUGAGGAUUACCAGGAUAAUUUAAGUUAUUUAAUAUUAAUGAAAACUAGUGUAUUCUCUUGGUGUUAUAAUGUACAAUACAUAAUGUUUAAAUACAACAAGUUUGAUUGUCAGUUUCUCUAAUCUAGGUACAAAUCCAAGAAUAUAGGAGAUUUUUUUGGCAUAUUCUAUUUCCCUCCGUCAGUCUAAUCGUUAGCGCCAAAUGGAUAGACUGGAUUUGAAUUCCUCGAAUAGAGAUGUAGGAAGACCUUUGGUGAAUAUGUCUGCAAACUGAGAAGAGCAUGGAACAUGAAGAACUCAAACUUGACCCAUGUUUACUUUCUCGUGAACAAAGUGAAUGUCUAUCUCCACAUGCUUUGUUCUCUGAUGCUUCACUGUAUUUUUUGAAGAUAAAAACCGCACUGAUAUUAUCUCAGUAGACAAGAGUGCAAUGGUGAUCCGACACUUGAGCUCGAGCACAAUGUUUCUUAUCCAGCAUGUUUCAGCUACUACAUUUGCACCCAUUUGUACUCAGAUUCAGAGGUAGACCUUAACACUGUUGGCUGCCGUUUGAAAGAGCAUAAGAUGAGGCUGUCACCGAGAAAAACAUAAUAUACAGAGGUAGAUCGACGUGUGUCGAGAGAGCAUGCCCAAUCGGCGUCAGUGUAGGCUGUGAGUGUGUUAGAGCUUGAUUUGUAUAGCUGUAAGCCAUUUGAUUGGGUUCCCUGCAGGUAUCCAAAAACUCGCUUCAAGGCAUUGAGAUGAUUGACUCGCGGAUCAUGCAUGAAAAGACACAGCUGGUGUACUGCAUAUUGUAUGUCCGGUUGUGUCAAUGUAAGGUACUGAAGGGCUCCAGCUAGGGUGCGAUGUAAUAUGCCAAACAACAUCUCCUAUAUUCUUGGAUAUGUAUCGAAAAGAAGAGGAAGAAGGUCUCAAGAGCUUUGUAGCUCUGAUACCAUGAAAACUAGUGUAUUCCCUUGGUGUUACAAUGUACCAUACGUAAUGUUUAAAUACAACAAGUUCGAUUGUCAGUUCCUCUAAUUUAGGUACAGAUCCAAGAAUAUAGAGAAUUUUGUUUGGAAUAUUCUAUCAAAUAAGACCAGUAAGUAGUUGUAUUUUUUUUUAGUGAUGAUGAGAUUUUUCUUAGACAGAUGUAAGUUGUGUUGAGCUUGAAAUUAGCCUGUGAUAUUGUAUUUUUUUGUAGAACUAGGAAUCAUCUGAGAUUAAGAUUAAAGGGAGUUAAAAAAAAAAAGAUUAAAGGGAGUUUGAAUCAUAUGGAGCAAAUAAACGGGUAGGUUAUCCUGAAUUCCUGACAAUUCCCGUACGAGUUCGGUAAGAAGUUAUGUAAUGGCUUCCCCUGGUAAGGGGUGGUUUAUUUGACCCUUCAUAAUUGAUAAAAAAAAUUCUGCAAUGAAUCCAUUAAACCGCAGGUGGUAGCCAGCCGCAUCUUGAAAUGGGGUCAAUUUGAUUCCAACCAUAUAUUAUAGGGGUCAUUUGUAAGAUUUCAUCAAAUUUCUUUCUUGAAAUACAUGUAAAAGAAUUUGUUUAUACAAAUUAAUAGUGGUCAUUUGACACCCUCCCCCCCCCCCCUUGCAUACAUAUAGCUCCACCACUGGUGGUCAGAGGCGGAUACACUUGAGUCAAUAGGGUGUCAUAUGACACUCGUUAAAUCUCGAUAAAUAAUAGUUUGUUACUGAAAACAUUGAAAAUUCAGCAGCUCUGCUGGAAGAAGUCACCUCUUGACACCCCGAAACCCAAGUUCAAAACUCACUGAUGACACCUUUGUGUUUUUUUGAGACCUCUUAAAUGCAUUCUUGGAUCCGCCACCGCUGGUGGUAGGUCUCGGAUUUGAAAACCUAUUAAAAAUAAAUGGCGCCUGUCUUAUAGACCUACUUGUUUGAUUUAAAGAAUCCUGUUUCAAAUGGAUCUGUUCUUGCAGAUUUUUUUUCUGUUUUGUUAAUGUUUUCUUCUGAAACUCCUCAGGUUCAGUUGGUGGCUAAUGAUCAGCUGACAAAAAAAAAACGAGAGGCUAUGAUUUCACUGAGUACAUUAAAGAGAGCAGGAGUAUGAGCACAGCGUGUCCAAGCACCUAGUGGCGGACCAACUAAGGCCCAAGGGGGGUCAAUUGACACCCCUAAAAUAGUCAAAUUAAUAAAUUUACAUAGGAUUUAUAAAAGAAUCUGUAGAAGAAAUGGUUAUUCUAUACCCUUUGAUACCGACCAGUGUUCAAGUCCCCAUUGGCACCUAUUUUUUUUCUAGAAAGUUAUAUAUAUAUAUAUAUAUAUAUAUGUGACACCGAUAAAAUAAAUAUCUGGAUCCACCACUGAAGUACCAUGAUGGAGACAGACAUGGCGAGCUAAAAAAGAGUCGUAUCAACUACUAUAAAGACGAGCAAGAGGACACCGACCGUUAUAGUCAUCGCUACGUUAAAAUAGAGGAAGAUGAGUAUAGGUAGGAAUGUGAUUACAAGUGUUUUAGUCGAUAUCUCGAAAACAGGACCAAAAUACUGAUUCAAUAUAGCUAUUGGUUGACUGGUUGGACUGGUGUAAUCUGUCGAUCCAAGGUUUCUAUUAUUUAAAUAUAAAUACAUAUAAUCAUAUAAACUUAAACUUAUAUAGACCUUAAAAAGUAGUUCUACAUAUAAUAUAUUCUUUGCUCUUUUAUAUUAACAAAAAUAAAUAAAUAUUAAUAUAAAUUUAGCUAUAUAUAUAGUAAACAAGUGAAUAGUAUGUAAAGCGAAAUUGAUAAAUAAAUAAAAACCGAAUGAUUACCGUUUAAAUUAUCGUAUUUUUAUUCUUAUAACUAAAAUUUCAAAGUUUAUGAAUAUGGCAAAAUGAAAAUAGUAUAUGAGAGUCAAAAGAGGUAUUUUCACCGUCUUUCCUUAAAAUAGAAAAUUAAAUAGAAGUUAACUAAAAUUAAUUACCAAAUAUGAUUAUGAAAUAUUAAAUUUUAAUAACAGUUGAAAACAUAUUAAUUACAAGUUAGUUAUUUAGAACCAGGUUUUAACCAGUUUUUCUGAAAUUUGGGUUUUAAACCGAACCGGACUCGGUUUCUUCAACGAUCACUGUCGGACUAGUUGACCGCUCGGUCCGGUUCGGUUUUCAAAAUACUGGUUUUUGUAGAACAUGAUGGAAUUUUUUUUAAUCACAAUUAUAGUUAUAUCACAAUCCUCAUACAUCUCUAACAAGAUCACAUCAAUUUCGUCGACCACAUAGCCAAUUUCGUAGUCCUUUCCGGUAAAAGAACUGCUUUGUUAAUUUCAUAAUAUUUUUGUUAAUCUUUUGGACAUGAGGAAAUUACAAAACAAAACCUAUUAAUUAUAAGUUAGUUUUUUAGAACAGGUUUUGAAUUUAACGCGAUUCACCGGUUAUUCUCAAAUUCGGAUUUUAAACCGAACCGGACUCGGCUUCUUCAACGAAAUAUUGUCGAACUGGUUCGACAGUUCGGUCCGGUUCGGUUUUCAAAUACUGGUUUUUGUAGAACAUGAUGGCAUUUUUUUUAAUCACAGCAAUACUAAUACCACAAUCCUCGUACAUCUAUAACAAGAGCACAUCAAUUUCGUCGACCACAUUGCCAAUUUCGUAGUCCUUUGCGGGAAGAGAUACUUUUAUUAAUCUUUUGGACAGGAGGAAAUUACAAAACAAAAGUCUCCGUUACCGGAUAAUGAACCAGGGUCUCCUGGGUGAAACCCAGAUAUCCUAACCGCUGAAAGACAACGGAUUUUGUUUAACUUUUUUCAUAUUAUUAUAAGUACCCUUAUAGAUACGUAUUAAUUUAAUUUACAUCAUUCACAUACAGUACUUUGUUACAUGUUUCUUUUGUUUUUCUUAACGACCCUGUUUCAUGAUAAAAUAUUUAUUAAAAUCCAAGGUCAUACACGUCGUGCGUCUGAGUAUAUCCUACUAUAUAAAAGCUACUAAUUUUGAGGCUUCUUAUGAGUGCCACAUAGGACAAAAUAUCCUCCACCAAUCAAACUGUCACGUCAUCGCGAAUGUUUAGAUGAUGGGUCUCGAACCAUCCUAACCCAUCAAAAUAGUCAGCCUAUUGUAUAACUUAUAGCUUCCUUUUCUUUAGCCUACUUACCUUAGACGUCUCCAGCGACUCCAAAUCUGUUCGUCUACCCAACUUCACCGGUGUAACUCCUACGACUACAACAACGGCACUUCAAUGCUCCGUUAUAACUCAUGAAGUGAAGACUCUUUGUACCUCUCCACAUCCCUCCUUUCAAUCUCUUGCCCAGUUCCUUAAAUUUGUUUUGUCACAAAAAGUUAGUGCAUGAGAUAGUUUUUGAAAUUCAAAUAAUACUAGGUAUUUUUCUGCACCAUGUGCAAUGAUAAAUUUUUUAAAAGUUAAAUUAUAUUUAAAAUGAAAUUUAUUAAUAUUAUAUAUUUUAUUAUUUUUGACUAAUAUUUAAUAUAAAAUUAACUAUUUUUGAGACUAUAAUGUUUGCUAUUGUGAUUAACACCUUAUUACAGUACUCUGUUUGUAUCUUCUUUUAUUAGUCAUCCUCCUGUUCUUUUUUUCUUUUUGGUAAAAUGAUUAAAAAAAAGACUGAAGCUAAAAUUAAUUUUUUUGUUCUUGAUCAUUCACGUUAUCUUCAAAGUUAAUAACAUGGUCAACGUAAAUGAUCGACGUUGAGAUUUCAGCUUUUUUGAUUUUUACUAUUCUAAUGUUUCAAUAUAAUUUGAAUAUUCUCUUUGUUUUAUAAUAUAAUGGUUUAAAAGUAUUUUUUGUUUCAUUAUAUAAAUUGUUUUUAUAUUUCAAUGUAACUUUAUAUUUAUUAAAUAUUGUGUAGCCAAUUAAAUUAUGUAAAUUACUGUAUAAUUGAUUAAAUUUAUAUAUUAAAUGACAGUUUUUUAAAGUAAUAACUUUUAAAUAUUACAUAUUUUAACUAAAAUUGAUUACAUUUUGAAACAGAUAGAGUAAUCUAUAAACUAACUCUAUAUAGAUAUAAGGACAAAAUUGUAAAGUGGUCUCAUCUUGAAUUUCUCUCAUUCUGUGCAUUCCUAAUUGGGAGAAAAUAAUCAAUAUCUAAUUUUAUGUUACUCUCAAUAUAUUAGAAAUAGUCAAACCGUAAACCAAUUAAGGAUGAUGUAAGAAAGACGUAAAGAUGUAUUUUCCGUUAUCACAAAUAUAUAAUCAAUUGACAACAACUUAAUUAUAUCCAGCGUAGGACAACAUAGAAGAGUUUCCAUACCUUCUAAUAUUAUAAUAUCUCACUAUAUUAUUGGUUAAAUCAGUUUUCUCUAGCACAAAUACUCACUUCAUUCUUAGAGUUUAAGUUUUUCUAUCUGAUGAUAUUAGUAGUUUGAUCCCAAAAAAAAAAAACGGUCGAACUGUACAUUAUAAUUGGAGAAAAAAAACAAACAAAAAUCAACCGAAAACUUUUAAGGUAUAUGAAACAAAAAUUGGAAAUAUCAAUUCUCUGCAUUUAAAGAAUAAUGCAAUAAAAAUAUA
Brassica rapa (field mustard) is the source of this 5833-nucleotide long non-coding RNA. RefSeq lists it as uncharacterized. The record is from RefSeq and is a predicted model, not a curated record. NCBI's taxonomy places the organism in Eukaryota, Viridiplantae, Streptophyta, Magnoliopsida, Brassicales, Brassicaceae.